GAUGAACGCUGGCGGCGUGCCUAAUACAUGCAAGUCGAGCGAACAGACGAGGAGCUUGCUCCUCUGACGUUAGCGGCGGACGGGUGAGUAACACGUGGAUAACCUACCUAUAAGACUGGGAUAACUUCGGGAAACCGGAGCUAAUACCGGAUAACAUGUUGAACCGCAUGGUUCAACAGUGAAAGACGGUCUUGCUGUCACUUAUAGAUGGAUCCGCGCCGCAUUAGCUAGUUGGUAAGGUAACGGCUUACCAAGGCAACGAUGCGUAGCCGACCUGAGAGGGAGAUCGGCCACACUGGAACUGAGACACGGUCCAGACUCCUACGGGAGGCAGCAGUAGGGAAUCUUCCGCAAUGGGCGAAAGCCUGACGGAGCAACGCCGCGUGAGUGAAGAAGGUCUUCGGAUCGUAAAACUCUGUUAUUAGGGAAGAACAAAUGUGUAAGUAACUAUGCACGUCUUGACGGUACCUAAUCAGAAAGCCACGGCUAACUACGUG
This 497-nucleotide ribosomal RNA is filed under the name uncultured bacterium. Its description in RNAcentral is "partial 16S ribosomal RNA". It matches the Rfam family "Bacterial small subunit ribosomal RNA", at positions 28 to 507 of the family's 1533-position model. The record is from RNAcentral.